This 254-nucleotide ribosomal RNA is filed under the name uncultured bacterium. Its description in RNAcentral is "partial 16S ribosomal RNA". It matches the Rfam family "Bacterial small subunit ribosomal RNA", at positions 524 to 776 of the family's 1533-position model. The record is from RNAcentral.
UACGAAGGGGGCUAGCGUUGCUCGGAUUUACUGGGCGUAAAGGGCGCGUAGGCGGACAUUUAAGUCAGGGGUGAAAUCCCGGGGCUCAACCUCGGAACUGCCUUUGAUACUGGGUGUCUUGAGUGUGAGAGAGGUAUGUGGAACUCCGAGUGUAGAGGUGAAAUUCGUAGAGUAUUCGGAAGAACACCAGUGGCGAAGGCGACAUACUGGCUCAUUACUGACGCUGAGGCGCGAAAGCGUGGGGAGCAAACAGG